AUAUAGCCAUCUGAGAAGAGAGGCUGUUGAUGUUUUUCAUUUAAGGCAAAUUUUAUCCAGCAAUAUAGAAGCUGUGGCAGGCCUACAAUGCAGCAGGAUUGCUGUGGAGGGACAGGAAAGUUCACAUAGAGGGGUUGGGCAUGAAGCCAGAUUGCCUGGAGGUAAUUCCUAGAGCUGUGGUACACUAACGACUUCUGUGAACAAAUCCCUCCGAAUGGUGGUGGUUGGGUGGAAAAUUGCUGAGAAGAACCAGCCAGAGACUCCAACAGAAGCAGCCAGAGCAGGGAUCUUCAGACAUUCAGAGAACUUUCUACAGG
This is a long non-coding RNA of Mauremys mutica (yellowpond turtle), 317 nucleotides long. RefSeq lists it as uncharacterized. The transcript is spliced from 3 exons. Lineage: Eukaryota; Metazoa; Chordata; Testudines; Geoemydidae. The record is from RefSeq and is a predicted model, not a curated record.